Non-coding RNA from Paramisgurnus dabryanus, 1240 nucleotides. The record is from RefSeq and is a predicted model, not a curated record. NCBI's taxonomy places the organism in Eukaryota, Metazoa, Chordata, Actinopteri, Cypriniformes, Cobitidae.
UGCUUGAUGACGUGGCAGCCAAGACAUGCAGCCUCCUAGGACGGAGCCUUAUUUAAAAAAAAAAGAAAAGGACGGAGCCUUAUUAAUUUUUAUUUUAUAUAUGUAUAAUGUACCCCCUUGUAUUUCUUAUUAUUUAAAAAAAAUAUUAAAAAUAAUUUUAAAAGGACGCAGUUGUGCGUUUGAGAAACGACCGGAAACGACUUAUAUGUCGCGAGGCCAUCACGUGACCACAAUAUUUACCAGAAGACCGUUAUUUGCUCGAGUGCCCUCAACUUUUUUGUCGCAAAUAACAUUAUUAAUAACCUGUAAAUAAUACAUUUUGUACACAUUACGUUACUCUUCACUUUGUAAUAGUAUGUUUUUGGUUUAAUAGUCGGCUUUAAGUUAGUUUUUCUGUCAGUUUGAUCGUCAAAAUGUUGAAAGUUAUCUGCAGCCACACAUCCACUGUAUACCAAGUUAUGAUGAUCAAUUAUGAAAAUGCAAAAGGAUUGAUAGAUCAGUAAACAAGCAACAAAAAGCUUUACAAAAAAUGUAGAAUUUGUAGGAGCAUGGACAUCUGAGUAACAAAGUCAUAUUAUGCAGAUGGGUGCUCAUGGUGGCCUCCAAAUAAAUACAUGGCAGGCUGCUAAAGAGGGUCAGGAUGAUGGAGAUGCAAGAGUCAAAGACAGCACGGACCAAACACCAGGCCAGAAUUCUGCAUGAGUCAGCUGUAAAAAAAACAAAAGAAUGAAACAGUACCUGCAUUUAAGUUUCCAGCCUUUUUCACAAAGUUGCUGACAACUGGAAGAAUGUCCCAAAUUGCUGCAAAAAGAAAUUCAAUUGAGUAAUUUUCACUCUAGAGACCCUGGGGUGACCACCAAGGACGAAUGCAAACUCCAGUGAGUGUCUCUAAGGUAGAUCCUAAUGCAGAUGGAUGGAAUGUUGAUCCGCCUAACAUGCAAGGUAAAAGAGCAUUUGAUAGCAUAGUGGAUAAACAAAGCUUUUUUCAUUUUCAGAGCAUUUUCAAAAACAACAUAACACUUGCUAUUACAUUGUUAUAUAUUACAUGACCAUGUCUAACUCUGAUCCAUACAAAACAGAUUUUCUGUACCGAGAACUUUGGAUGACCACGUUUUCAAAAAUCUGACCUCAAUUUUAGUAACCAUUUAGAUAUUUUAGAUGUAGUCCGAGAGCUUGCUGACCCUCCAUUAAAAAUGUAUGUACGGUAUACUGUUCAUGUCCAGAAAGGUAAUAAAAACAU